CACAGAGGAGCAGGAAGACCUGGUGUGAAGAACAGUCAGGUCAUCUCUGGACACAGCUUAUUGAAACCAAGCAGCUAAACGAGCCACAGUCACUCUUCACUGUUCUGCAUUUGUCUGCAGCAGCAGAGAGACAAACCAAGAGAAAGGUUUCUUUUCUUUACAUCCUCGUUUCAGUAAAACUGUGACAUGGUUCACAUUCUACAUUCAGUCCUGUUCCUUCAGCUGCACACUCAAUCAUAUCCUUUAUAUUUAUUCUGAAUUACUUAAAUUGUAGCUCAUUGUUUUGCUGCUUUACUAUUGAAGGAAGAUGUGUUUUCUGAUCAAGUUGUAGUUUCCAGUUGCUGCCACUAGAUGUCAGUAAAGCUUAGUUUACUGCCACAUCCCAUUCUCACUGCCUGUAUAUACAUUUUAUACUAAUAUUCAUCAUCAGAGCUGGUUUAUUAUUUAUCAACUGUCCAUAUUCGUUAUUAUUUCUGUCUUAAUUUAACUUCACUCACUCUAUUAUUUGCUUCUUAUUUCAUUUUCAUUUAAUUUAUUUUUUAAAUCUUUCUUUGACGUGUCUUUUUUUAAUAAUAAUUUUUCUUGCCCCUGUCUUUACAUGUAUUUUUGACGCACACUGUUCUGCAUCUUUUUGACACACUGAACUGUUCUUACACAGAUGAUGAGAUUAAACAUAUCUUUAGUCUUCUUUAAA
This is a long non-coding RNA of Lates calcarifer (barramundi perch), 694 nucleotides long. RefSeq lists it as uncharacterized. The record is from RefSeq and is a predicted model, not a curated record. The transcript is spliced from 2 exons. Lineage: Eukaryota; Metazoa; Chordata; Actinopteri; Centropomidae.